This 504-nucleotide ribosomal RNA is filed under the name uncultured bacterium. Its description in RNAcentral is "partial 16S ribosomal RNA". It matches the Rfam family "Bacterial small subunit ribosomal RNA", at positions 29 to 523 of the family's 1533-position model. The record is from RNAcentral.
AUUGAACGCUGGCGGCAGGCCUAACACAUGCAAGUCGAGCGGUAGCACAGAGAGCUUGCUCUCGGGUGACGAGCGGCGGACGGGUGAGUAAUGUCUGGGAAACUGCCUGAUGGAGGGGGAUAACUACUGGAAACGGUAGCUAAUACCGCAUAACGUCGCAAGACCACAGUGGGGGACCUUCGGGCCUCAUGCCAUCAGAUGUGCCCAGAGGGGAUUAGCUAGUAGGGGGGGUAACGGCUCACCUAGGCGACGAUCCCUAGCUGGUCUGAGAGGAUGACCAGCCACACUGGAACUGAGACACGGUCCAGACUCCUACGGGAGGCAGCAGUGGGGAAUAUUGCACAAUGGGCGCAAGCCUGAUGCAGCCAUGCCGCGUGUGUGAAGAAGGCCUUCGGGUUGUAAAGCACUUUCAGCGGGGAGGAAGGCGGUGAGGUUAAUAACCUCAUCGAUUGACGUUACCCGCAGAAGAAGCACCGGCUAACUCCGUGCCAGCAGCCGCCGUAA